AACGUAGGAGGCGAGCGUUAUCCGGAUUUACUGGGUGUAAAGCGCGUGCAGGCGGUUGGUUAAGUUGGGCUGUGAAAGCUCCUGGCUCAACUGGGAGAGGUCGCUCAAGACUGGCCAACUGGAGAGCAGUAGGGGAAGGUGGAAUUCCGGGUGUAGUGGUGAAAUGACGUAGAUAUCCGGAGGAACACCAGUGGCGAAAGCGGCCUUCUGGACUGCAUCUGACGCUCAGACGCGAAAAGCUAGGGGGAGCAAACGGG
This 257-nucleotide ribosomal RNA is filed under the name uncultured bacterium. RNAcentral describes it as "partial 16S ribosomal RNA". It matches the Rfam family "Bacterial small subunit ribosomal RNA", at positions 524 to 776 of the family's 1533-position model. The record is from RNAcentral.